RNAcentral lists this ribosomal RNA (755 nucleotides) under uncultured Fusobacteriota bacterium. Its description in RNAcentral is "bacterial SSU rRNA". It matches the Rfam family "Bacterial small subunit ribosomal RNA", at positions 123 to 896 of the family's 1533-position model. Lineage: Bacteria; Fusobacteriati; Fusobacteriota. The record is from RNAcentral.
AACUUGCCUUACAGACUGGGACAACAUUUGGAAACGAAUGCUAAUACCGGAUAUUAUGACUGAGUCGCAUGAUUUGGUUAUGAAAGCUAUAUGCGCUGUGAGAGACUUUGCGUCCCAUUAGUUAGUUGGUGAGGUAACGGCUCACCAAGACGAUGAUGGGUAGCCGGCCUGAGAGGGUGAACGGCCACAAGGGGACUGAGACACGGCCCUUACUCCUACGGGAGGCAGCAGUGGGGAAUAUUGGACAAUGGACCAAAAGUCUGAUCCAGCAAUUCUGUGUGCACGAUGAAGUUUUUCGGAAUGUAAAGUGCUUUCAGUUGGGAAGAAGUCAGUGACGGUACCAACAGAAGAAGCGACGGCUAAAUACGUGUCAGCAGCCGCGGUAAUACGUAUGUCGCAAGCGUUAUCCGGAUUUAUUGGGCGUAAAGCGCGUCUAGGCGGUUUAGUAAGUCUGAUGUGAAAAUGCGGGGCUCAACCCCGUAUUGCGUUGGAAACUGCUAAACUAGAGUACUGGAGAGGUAGGCGGAACUACAAGUGUAGAGGUGAAAUUCGUAGAUAUUUGUAGGAAUGCCGAUGGGGAAGCCAGCCUACUGGACAGAUACUGACGCUAAAGCGCGAAAGCGUGGGUAGCAAACAGGAUUAGAUACCCUGGUAGUCCACGCCGUAAACGAUGAUUACUAGGUGUUGGGGGUCGAACCUCAGCGCCCAAGCUAACGCGAUAAGUAAUCCGCCUGGGGAGUACGUACGCAAGUAUG